Molecule: ribosomal RNA, 133 nt
Filed under: uncultured bacterium
Lineage: Bacteria
Description: partial 16S ribosomal RNA
Source: RNAcentral
UAGUUGGCCGGUGCUUCUUCUGUACCUACCGUCACUUGCGCUUCGUCGGUACUGAAAGAGGUUACAACCGAAGGCCGUCAUCCCUCACGCGGCGUUGCUGGAUCAGGCUUCCGCCCAUUGUCCAAUAUUCCCC